This 504-nucleotide ribosomal RNA is filed under the name uncultured bacterium. RNAcentral describes it as "partial 16S ribosomal RNA". It matches the Rfam family "Bacterial small subunit ribosomal RNA", at positions 29 to 523 of the family's 1533-position model. The record is from RNAcentral.
AUUGAACGCUGACGGCAGGCCUAACACAUGCAAGUCGGACGGUAGCACAGAGAGCUUGCUCUUGGGUGACGAGUGGCGGACGGGUGAGUAAUGUCUGGGGAUCUGCCCGAUAGAGGGGGAUAACCACUGGAAACGGUGGCUAAUACCGCAUAACGUCGCAAGACCAAAGAGGGGGACCUUCGGGCCUCUCACUAUCGGAUGAACCCAGAUGGGAUUAGCUAGUAGGCGGGGUAAUGGCCCACCUAGGCGACGAUCCCUAGCUGGUCUGAGAGGAUGACCAGCAACACUGGAACUGAGACACGGUCCAGACUCCUACGGGGGGAAGCAGUGGGGAAUAUUGAACAAUGGGCGAAAGCCUGAUGCAGCCAUGCCGCGUGUAUGAAGAAGGCCUUCGGGUUGUAAAGUACUUUCAGCGGGGAGGAAGGCGGUGCGGUUAAUAACCGUACCGAUUGACGUUACCCGCAGAAGAAGCACCGGCUAACUCCGUGCCAGCCGCCGCGGUAA